Molecule: transfer RNA, 136 nt
Filed under: Caudoviricetes sp.
Lineage: Duplodnaviria; Heunggongvirae; Uroviricota; Caudoviricetes
Description: tRNA-OTHER
Rfam family: tRNA
About the family: Transfer RNA (tRNA) molecules are approximately 80 nucleotides in length. Their secondary structure includes four short double-helical elements and three loops (D, anti-codon, and T loops).
Source: RNAcentral
GGUGAUGUAGCUCAGGCAGGUUAGAGCACUGUGUGUGGUGGAUGGUUGAGAGUUCGAGUCUCUCAAGAAAUACUCUUAGCUUAACGGAAGAGCACCACAAGCAGAGGUCAGCGGUUCGAAUCCGCUCAUCACUUCA